RNAcentral lists this ribosomal RNA (382 nucleotides) under uncultured eukaryote. RNAcentral describes it as "partial 18S ribosomal RNA". It matches the Rfam family "Eukaryotic small subunit ribosomal RNA", at positions 592 to 976 of the family's 1831-position model. The record is from RNAcentral.
CAAUAGCGUAUAUUAAAGUUGUUGCAGUUAAAAAGCUCGUAGUUGGAUUUCUGGAUGGAGCGACCGGUCGGGCAUUAAUUUGUCUGCACUGGAGUCGGUUCCGUCCAUCCUCUUGGAAAGUGCGUCGGGCAUUAAGUUGUUUGGCGUAUGAUCCAAGUCGUUUACUGUGAAAAAAUUAGAGUGUUUAAAGCAGGCCUUCGCCUUGAAUACAUUAGCAUGGAAUAAUAAGAUAGGACUUUGGUCUAUUUUGUUGGUUUGCGGACCGAAGUAAUGAUUAAUAGGGAUAGUUGGGGGUAUUUAUAUUCCGAUGUCAGAGGUGAAAUUCUUAGAUUUUCGGAAGAUAAACUUAUGCGAAAGCAUUUACCAAGGAUGUUUUCAUUAA